GAAACCUUUUAGGCUGAAGGGGAAGCAUUCUGAAAUAGGACAAGGGGCACCUCGUGUUGAAACCUGGAGCUGGUCAACCCUCUGAGGCCAAUGCCGACCUUUGCAUCUGCCUCCCACGCCCUGCUUGUUUUAGCUGGACCAGGAGAAACUAAUGUCAAGACAAAAAAAAAAAAAACCUGAAAUCCAUAACAUUUUGAUAGGUAGCUUUAUGAACAGUUACAAAUCAGAUGUUUGCCCCCCAAAUUUUAACUUUAUUCUCUGAAACAGAUCUAAAAUUCCUAUCUACCUCACAGUUUCACAGAUAACCCAGUCUCUUCCAGUUUAUAACUGCCUCUUUGGGCCUAUUUCUUUUAAUGCUGUUUGAGACCUGUUAAUGGUUGUAGCCUGGUCAGAAAAAGGACUCCUGGAUCCUCCUGGAAGCUUCGUGAUUUGUUACUGCUAAUUCACGUUUACCCACAAUGAGCAUCCAUACAUGGGUUCUGAAGAUUAAAGUCAUCCUUGAGAAGGGAGAGUGGAAUGCCAAAACUUUUCUUGGAUUCCAGAGCUCUGGUUCAUGUCUGCAACAUGGAUGCAAUGAUAUAACCUUAUUUUAUGUAUCAUCCAUUCACCUGUUGAUCAAAGACUGUAUUCAAGAUGGCAGGCACGGUGAAGUCAAUGAUAACUCUAGUUUAUUGAGAAACUACUCGGCAUCAUACAUUAUCUUAAUUA
RNAcentral lists this long non-coding RNA (708 nucleotides) under Homo sapiens (human). RNAcentral's name for it is "non-protein coding lnc-ANKRD55-8:1". Lineage: Eukaryota; Metazoa; Chordata; Mammalia; Primates; Hominidae. The record is from RNAcentral.